ACUAUUUCCAAAUCUUCACUAUUAUAAUUUGUGCUGUGAUAAGCAUCUUGGUAACUGCUAGGAGCCACUGCAAAGUAUUACAUUCAUAUGGAAAUUGGGCUCCUACUGUUCACUUAGGCCCAUUUGGGGACUCAAGUUACAAGACUCCUGGAGAGUUCCCAUUGGUUGGGGAAGGAUGGUAGGAGGGUGUUCCGGGGGAAGUGGGGCCCCCCGUGUCCGGUAGGGACACGUGUGUGUGUGUGUGUGUGUGUGGACCGGCUUGUUAGGGGGACGCACACGGCCUCUCACAAAAUAAAACUUUGUUUCAGUUCCAUCUGGCUUGUGUUUUUGUGCCCAGCCGGAUUGCAGCAUCGCAAGCCGGCGUGCACUGACAGCGACCCGCGAAAGCGCCCAGCAGGAAGGCAGCAGGUGAAAACAGCAGCGGGCAGAAGCGGAGCCAAGGCUCACGCGGCCCCCGCCGUCCAGCCUGCAGCAGCUCCAGUGUUACAGCUCAGGGCCACGAGAAGCCACUCUGCUUCCCUGCUGCUCUCCCACCAGCUCCAUUCCUCAUGGCCUGAGCUUGAGGUCUUCUGCUGCCCGGUUUCCUCAUCUGUAGGAUGGAGAUAAUAAUCUCUACUGUGCGGGGCUGUUGCAAAGAUAAAAAAAAUAUAUAUUACCAAUAAAAAUGGUGCACAUCUGUAAUCCCAGCAGCUCGGGAGGCUGAGAGAGGAGGAUGGUGAGUUCAAAGCCAGCCUCAGCAAUGAGAGGCGCUAAGCAACUCAGUGAGACCCUGUCUCUAAAUAAAAUACAAAAUAGGGCUGGGGAUGU
RNAcentral lists this long non-coding RNA (807 nucleotides) under Ictidomys tridecemlineatus (thirteen-lined ground squirrel). RNAcentral's name for it is "lncRNA (ENSSTOG00000033613.1)". The record is from RNAcentral. Lineage: Eukaryota; Metazoa; Chordata; Mammalia; Rodentia; Sciuridae.